This 800-nucleotide ribosomal RNA is filed under the name Arthrobacter globiformis. Its description in RNAcentral is "bacterial SSU rRNA". It matches the Rfam family "Bacterial small subunit ribosomal RNA", at positions 693 to 1486 of the family's 1533-position model. Lineage: Bacteria; Bacillati; Actinomycetota; Actinomycetes; Micrococcales; Micrococcaceae. The record is from RNAcentral.
GAUAUCAGGAGGAACACCGAUGGCGAAGGCAGGUCUCUGGGCAUUAACUGACGCUGAGGAGCGAAAGCAUGGGGAGCGAACAGGAUUAGAUACCCUGGUAGUCCAUGCCGUAAACGUUGGGCACUAGGUGUGGGGGACAUUCCACGUUUUCCGCGCCGUAGCUAACGCAUUAAGUGCCCCGCCUGGGGAGUACGGCCGCAAGGCUAAAACUCAAAGGAAUUGACGGGGGCCCGCACAAGCGGCGGAGCAUGCGGAUUAAUUCGAUGCAACGCGAAGAACCUUACCAAGGCUUGACAUGGACUGGAUCGCCGCAGAAAUGUGGUUUCCCCUUUGGGGUCGGUUCACAGGUGGUGCAUGGUUGUCGUCAGCUCGUGUCGUGAGAUGUUGGGUUAAGUCCCGCAACGAGCGCAACCCUCGUUCUAUGUUGCCAGCGCGUGAUGGCGGGGACUCAUAGGAGACUGCCGGGGUCAACUCGGAGGAAGGUGGGGACGACGUCAAAUCAUCAUGCCCCUUAUGUCUUGGGCUUCACGCAUGCUACAAUGGCCGGUACAAAGGGUUGCGAUACUGUGAGGUGGAGCUAAUCCCAAAAAGCCGGUCUCAGUUCGGAUUGGGGUCUGCAACUCGACCCCAUGAAGUCGGAGUCGCUAGUAAUCGCAGAUCAGCAACGCUGCGGUGAAUACGUUCCCGGGCCUUGUACACACCGCCCGUCAAGUCACGAAAGUUGGUAACACCCGAAGCCGGUGGCCUAACCCCUUGUGGGAGGGAGCUGUCGAAGGUGGGACUGGCGAUUGGGACUAAGU